UUUUCAUAGUUGAAGAACAACAGGGGUUUUUCAGACCUCAGGUUUUGGUUGCAAUCCAAAUGGGAAU
RNAcentral lists this transfer RNA (67 nucleotides) under Caiman latirostris (Broad-snouted caiman). Its description in RNAcentral is "tRNA-Glu". Lineage: Eukaryota; Metazoa; Chordata; Crocodylia; Alligatoridae. The record is from RNAcentral.